RNAcentral lists this signal recognition particle RNA (306 nucleotides) under Fervidicoccus fontis. RNAcentral describes it as "signal recognition particle sRNA". It matches the Rfam family "Archaeal signal recognition particle RNA". RNAcentral also lists the same sequence under 1 other name. The record is from RNAcentral. Lineage: Archaea; Thermoproteati; Thermoproteota; Thermoprotei; Fervidicoccales; Fervidicoccaceae.
UUGCGGGUAGGGCCGGGGGUUCGCCCUCCCCAUAACCCGAGAUGGGCGCAAGGCGGGGGCCAGUAAUCCCGCAGAAGGAGGCUGAGGUCAAGGAAGAUUCCUCGGAUAGCGCUGAGCCUCGCCCCGUGGAGUCGAGGGCAGGGGCUAGCUGGCCGGAGGGCUAGCUGGACUCCUCUAACCGGAGGAAAAUGGCCAGGCCCGGAAGGGAGCAACCUAUCUCCGGACCUCGGCGUUCACGGGUCACCGGGGGGAGCGAUUCCGAGGGGGGAUCUCCUUGACGUAGGUCUCCUCUGCGGGAGGCCGCAU